Molecule: ribosomal RNA, 495 nt
Filed under: uncultured bacterium
Lineage: Bacteria
Description: partial 16S ribosomal RNA
Rfam family: Bacterial small subunit ribosomal RNA
Source: RNAcentral
GACGAACGCUGGCGGCGUGCCUAAUACAUGCAAGUAGAACGCUGAAGGAGGAGCUUGCUCUUCUGGAUGAGUUGCGAACGGGUGAGUAACGCGUAGGUAACCUGCCUGGUAGCGGGGGAUAACUAUUGGAAACGAUAGCUAAUACCGCAUAACAGUAGAUGUUGCAUGACAUUUACUUAAAAGGUGCAAUUGCAUCACUACCAGAUGGACCUGCGUUGUAUUAGCUAGUUGGUGGGGUAACGGCUCACCAAGGCGACGAUACAUAGCCGACCUGAGAGGGUGAUCGGCCACACUGGGACUGAGACACGGCCCAGACUCCUACGGGAGGCAGCAGUAGGGAAUCUUCGGCAAUGGACGGAAGUCUGGCCGGGCAACGCCGCGUGAGUGAAGAAGGGUUUCGGAUCGUAAAGCUCUGUUGUAAGAGAAGAACGAGUGUGAGAGUGGAAAGUUCACACUGUGACGGUAUCUUACCAGAAAGGGACGGCUAACUACGUG